Molecule: transfer RNA, 67 nt
Filed under: Marmota monax (woodchuck)
Lineage: Eukaryota; Metazoa; Chordata; Mammalia; Rodentia; Sciuridae
Description: tRNA.Ala
Source: RNAcentral
GGAUUGUGGCUCAGCGGUAGAGCGCUCGCCUAGCACGGGCAGGACCUGAGUUUGAUUCUCAGCACCA